AGAACGAACGCUGGCGGCACGCCUAACACAUGCAAGUCGAGCGCCCAGCAAUGGGAGCGGCGGACGAGUGAGUAACACGUGGGAACAUGCCUUUUGGUUCGGCACAACUCAGGGAAACUUGAGCUAAUUCCGGAUGAGCCCGUAAGGGGAAAGAUUUAUCGCCAAAAGAUUGGCCCGCGUAAGAUUAGCUAGUUGGUGAGGUAAUGGCUCACCAAGGCAACGAUCUUUAGCUGGUUUGAGAGAACGACCAGCCACGUUGGGACUGAGACACGGCCCAAACUCCUACGGGAGGCAGCAGUGGGGAAUCUUGGACAAUGGGGGAAACCCUGAUCCAGCGAUGCCGCGUGAGUGAUGAAGGCCUUCGGGUUGUAAAACUCUUUUACCCGGGAAGAUAAUGACUGUACCGGGAGAAUAAGCUCCGGCUAACUUCGCGCCAGCAGCCGC
This 444-nucleotide ribosomal RNA is filed under the name uncultured bacterium. RNAcentral describes it as "SSU rRNA". It matches the Rfam family "Bacterial small subunit ribosomal RNA", at positions 26 to 518 of the family's 1533-position model. The record is from RNAcentral.